Molecule: unclassified non-coding RNA, 377 nt
Filed under: uncultured fungus
Lineage: Eukaryota; Fungi
Description: sequence contains ITS1
Rfam family: 5.8S ribosomal RNA (bases 1-107)
Source: RNAcentral
GAAAUGCGAUACUUGGUGUGAAUUGCAGAAUCCCGUGAACCAUCGAGUCUUUGAACGCAAGUUGCGCCCGAAACCACUCGGUUGAGGGCACGUCUGCCUGGGCGUCACGCAUCGCGUCGCCCCCCGCCUCUGUCCCAUUCGUGGAGAUGGAGUGUUGGGGGCGGAAGUUGGCCCCCCGUGUGCGAAAGCACGCGGUCGGCCUAAAUUCUAACCCGCGGCGACUCGCGUCACGAUCAGUGGUGGUUGAAACAAUCAACUUUCUUGCUAUUGUGUCGAUCGAAGUCGCUCGACGGGCGAAGCAUCGAACCCAAUGGCUCGUUUCAAACUGAGCUUUCGACCGCGACCCCAGGUCAGACGGGAUUACCCGCUGAGUUUAA